RNAcentral lists this unclassified non-coding RNA (215 nucleotides) under soil metagenome. RNAcentral describes it as "partial contains 5.8S ribosomal RNA, internal transcribed spacer 2, and large subunit ribosomal RNA". The record is from RNAcentral.
AACGGUCUAUACCUGCGGUACCUGCGGAAGGAUCAUUACCGAGUUUACAACUCCCAAACCCAUGUGAACAUACCUGUCUUGUUGCUUCGGCGGCGCCCACGGCCCUCACGGGCUUGGGGCCCGCCAGAGGACCCAAACAAAACUCUUUGCAUUUUGAAUACAGUAUUCUGAGUGACAUGAUUAAAUAAAAUCAAAACUUUUAACAACGGAUCUCU